CCUACGGGAGGCAGCAGUGGGGAAUUUUGGACAAUGGGCGCAAGCCUGAUCCAGCCAUGCCGCGUGCAGGAUGAAGGCCUUCGGGUUGUAAACCGCUUUUGUACGGAACGAAAAGACUCCUUCUAAUAAAGGGGGUCCAUGACGGUUCCCGAAGAA
This 156-nucleotide ribosomal RNA is filed under the name uncultured bacterium. RNAcentral describes it as "partial 16S ribosomal RNA". It matches the Rfam family "Bacterial small subunit ribosomal RNA", at positions 338 to 489 of the family's 1533-position model. The record is from RNAcentral.